This 253-nucleotide ribosomal RNA is filed under the name uncultured bacterium. RNAcentral describes it as "partial 16S ribosomal RNA". It matches the Rfam family "Bacterial small subunit ribosomal RNA", at positions 524 to 776 of the family's 1533-position model. The record is from RNAcentral.
UACAGAGGGUGCAAGCGUUAAUCGGAAUUACUGGGCGUAAAGGGCGCGUAGGCGGAUGAAUAAGUUAGGUGUGAAAUCCCCGGGCUUAACCUGGGAAUGGCAUUUAAUACUGUUUAUCUGGAGUAGAGUAGAGGGAAGUGGAAUUUCCGGUGUAGCGGUGAAAUGCGUAGAGAUCGGAAAGAACACCAGUGGCGAAGGCGGCUUCCUGGACUCAUACUGACGCUGAGGCGCGAAAGCGUGGGUAGCAAACAGG